Molecule: ribosomal RNA, 777 nt
Filed under: uncultured Neocallimastigales
Lineage: Eukaryota; Fungi; Neocallimastigomycota; Neocallimastigomycetes; Neocallimastigales
Description: partial large subunit ribosomal RNA
Rfam family: Eukaryotic large subunit ribosomal RNA
Source: RNAcentral
CGUCUAUAUACGUAUAGCAUAUCAAUAAGCGGAGGAAAAGAAACUAACAAGGAUUCCCUUAGUAACGGCGAGUGAAGCGGGAAGAGCUCAAAUUUGAAAUCUUCAAGGUUCUACCUUGACGAAUUGUAGUUUAAAGAAGUGUUUUCUGUUAGAGGAGUAGGCAAAAGUUCCUUUGAAUAGGGACAUCAUAGAGGGUGAGAAUCCCGUAUUUGGUUAUUCUUUCUAGCUUUGUGAUACACUUUCAAAGAGUCGGAUUGUUUGGGAAUGCAGUCCAAAAUGGGUGGUAAAUUUCAUCUAAAGCUAAAUAUUGGCGAGAGACCGAUAGCGAACAAGUACCGUGAGGGAAAGAUGAAAAGAACUUUGAAAAGAGAGUUAAACAGUACGUGAAAUUGUCAAAAGGGAAGCGUUUGACACCAGUGUUGUUUUUCCGAAAAUCAAUUAAGAAUGGCUUGAUUUUGUGUUGUAUUGACCUUAUCAGCUUUCUUCACUCUUUUUCGAGUCUUUCUUAAUGCACUUUUCGGUUAACAAGUCAACAUCAAUUUCUUUUGUUGUAAAAGGGUAUUUGGAAGGUGGCUUUCUUUUCGGAGAAAGUGUUUAUAGCCUUAUACCUCUACAAUCGGAGAGAUUGAGGUCUGCAGCGUAGAUCCUUCGGGGCUAGAUACACUUGUGCUAAGUUAUAGCUUUUCAUAGACAACUUGUUGACUAUGUUUAGUCAUGUAGCUUACCCGCUUGUGCUAUUUUACCUACGCUUAGGAUGUUGAGUCAUCACACAUCUCU